This 615-nucleotide ribosomal RNA is filed under the name Chrysopophorus sp. RDB-2000. RNAcentral's name for it is "eukaryotic LSU rRNA". It matches the Rfam family "Eukaryotic large subunit ribosomal RNA", at positions 386 to 777 of the family's 3401-position model. Lineage: Eukaryota; Metazoa; Arthropoda; Insecta; Hymenoptera; Braconidae. The record is from RNAcentral.
CCUGAGAAACCCAAAAGAUCGAAUGGGGAGAUUCAUCGUCAGCAUGUUAGUGUAUAUACAAGUUACGAUACAAAUUAUCCUUGUGAUAAUACUUACUACGUACUUGUAUUAUUGUGAAGCUAAACCUGUCGGCGUGCACUUCUCCCCUAGUAGGACGUCGCGACCCGUUGGGUGUCGGUCUAUGGCCCGGAAGGUAGUCUUUAAUUUUUUUCAAUUAAAGACCUCCGGUUGACCUGAUCGGCUGCUCGGCGGUAUUCGCACGGUAUUGAGUCGCAAUAUAUAUAUAUAUGCGUCGAGCCCGUUGCAAGCGCGGCCAGUAUUUAAACUCGGUAGUGCGGAUUUAAUGCCGUUACUGGGGCUGGCCAGCUGUUGGUUGACGGUGUUCUUUGACUGGCUCAAAAUUAAUUACCGGUCGGCGACGCUACUGCUUUGGGUACUUUCAGGACCCGUCUUGAAACACGGACCAAGGAGUCUAACAUGUGCGCGAGUCAUUGGGAUUUAUUUUUAUAAAUUAAACCUAAAGGCGCAAUGAAAGUAAAGGUCGUCCUUGUGUCGACUGAGGGAGGAUGAGUGGCAGUAAUAUGUCAGCUUCGCACUCCCGGGGCGUCUCAUUCU